This 76-nucleotide transfer RNA is filed under the name Thermoplasmata archaeon. Its description in RNAcentral is "tRNA-Val". It matches the Rfam family "tRNA". From Rfam's summary of the family: Transfer RNA (tRNA) molecules are approximately 80 nucleotides in length. Their secondary structure includes four short double-helical elements and three loops (D, anti-codon, and T loops). Lineage: Archaea; Methanobacteriati; Thermoplasmatota; Thermoplasmata. RNAcentral also lists the same sequence under 1 other name. The record is from RNAcentral.
GGGCCCAUGGUCUAGCGGUUAUGACAACGCCCUUACACGGCGUAGAUCACCGGUUCAAAUCCGGUUGGGCCCACCA